UGGGGAAUUUUGGACAAUGGGCGCAAGCCUGAUCCAGCCAUGCCGCGUGCAGGAUGAAGGCCCUCGGGUUGUAAACUGCUUUUGUACGGAACGAAAAGCCUCUUUCUAAUAAAGAGGGGUGAUGACGGUACCGUAAGAAUAAGCACCGGCUAACUACGUGCCAGCAGCCGCGGUAAUACGUAGGGUGCGAGCGUUAAUCGGAAUUACUGGGCGUAAAGCGUGCGCAGGCGGUCUUGCAAGACAGUGGUGAAAUCCCCGGGCUCAACCGGGGAACUGCCAUUGUGACUGCAAGGCUGGAGUACGGCAGAGGGGGAUGGAAUUCCGCGUGUAGCAGUGAAAUGCGUAGAUAUGCGGAGGAACACCGAUGGCGAAGGCAGUCCCCUGGGCCUGUACUGACGCUCAUGCACGAAAGCGUGGGGAGCAAACA
This 427-nucleotide ribosomal RNA is filed under the name uncultured bacterium. RNAcentral describes it as "bacterial SSU rRNA". It matches the Rfam family "Bacterial small subunit ribosomal RNA", at positions 355 to 774 of the family's 1533-position model. The record is from RNAcentral.